GGGGGCAGCAAUUGGUCCGCAUCAUUAGAGUCGAGAUCUGAUGAUAGGGGUUCGAUUCCCCUUGCCUCCACCA
This 73-nucleotide transfer RNA is filed under the name Candidatus Peregrinibacteria bacterium. RNAcentral's name for it is "tRNA-Ser". It matches the Rfam family "tRNA". From Rfam's summary of the family: Transfer RNA (tRNA) molecules are approximately 80 nucleotides in length. Their secondary structure includes four short double-helical elements and three loops (D, anti-codon, and T loops). Lineage: Bacteria; Candidatus Peregrinibacteriota. The record is from RNAcentral.